RNAcentral lists this ribosomal RNA (592 nucleotides) under uncultured bacterium. RNAcentral describes it as "partial 16S ribosomal RNA". It matches the Rfam family "Bacterial small subunit ribosomal RNA", at positions 355 to 1375 of the family's 1533-position model. The record is from RNAcentral.
UGGGGAAUUUUGGACAAUGGGCGAAAGCCUGAUCCAGCAAUGCCGCGUGUGUGAAGAAGGCCUUCGGGUUGUAAAGCACUUUUGUCCGGAAAGAAAUCCUUGGCUCUAAUACAGUCGGGGGAUGACGGUACCGGAAGAAUAAGCACCGGCUAACUACGUGCCAGCAGCCGCGGUAAUACGUAGGGUGCAAGCGUUAAUCGGAAUUACUGGGCGUAAAGCGUGCGCAGGCGGUUUGCUAAGACCGAUGUGAAAUCCCCGGGCUCAACCUGGGAACUGCAUUGGUGACUGGCAGGCUAGAGUAUGGCAGAGGGGGGUAGAAUUCCACGUGUAGCAGUGAAAUGCGUAGAGAUGUGGAGGAAUACCGAUGGCGAAGGCAGCCCCCUGGGCCAAAUACUGACGCUCAUGCACGAAAGCGUGGGGGAGCAAAACAGGAUUAGAUACCCCUGGUAGUCCACGCCCUAAAACGAUGUCAACUAGUUGUUGGGGGAUUCAUUUUCCUUAGUAACGUAGCUAACGCGUGAAGUUGACCGCCUGGGGAGUACGGUCGCAAGAUUAAAACUCAAAUGAAUUGACGGGGUCAUAGCUGUUUCCU